Molecule: non-coding RNA, 85 nt
Organism: Mycena latifolia
Lineage: Eukaryota; Fungi; Basidiomycota; Agaricomycetes; Agaricales; Mycenaceae
Source: the annotation of a GenBank genome assembly
GACCCGGUGGUGAAAUGAAUCAUACCUGCCAUUCAUGCCCCGACAUUUCCUUGCAAGGAUCCCGGUUCGAGUCCGGGCUGGGUCA